GAGGCACUUGGGCUUGGUUCUGGCAGGCGGAGCGGACGGGGCUGAGAGCGGGGCCCUACGGGCGUAAGCGAGGUUACCCUACGCGAGUGGCGUAAAGCGGGUUUGUAAAUGCCGCCUGCCGGCUUGGGCCCGAACGCCUCCAGGAAGUCUCCUCUAGGUGGGGGCGGGAGGGGAAGGGCGAGGUUGGCCCCUGGUGCCCCGGGAGAGGGGACAGGGCGGAUGUGCCUGGGGUGGGGUCCUUUGAAGGUGUGGCUUCGGACCGAGAGGUGAGGCUGCUGUUUUCCCCCUGCUUUGUAAGUAAGAGAAAAGGGAGGAGGAAGGAAAGGGUGCUUGGGAGUCGGCUCUUGGGGGUGACUCGGGUUAUGCCCUUUGAGGGAAGAGGAGCACUGGAAGAAGGAAGAGACAAAUGUUGGGGUCUACGGAUUCAGUUCCAGUUUAAUGAUGUGGCCCUCUAAGGAGAUAAUUUUGCCUUAAACAGAAAGACUUGACCCUCUUAGGUGUCAUACCUAAGCUUUCUCCUCUAAAUCUUGGUCUCUUGUUUGGAAGUGACUAACAGCAUUUUGGCAUGAGAAAGCCCUAAAAAGAUCAGUGUGUUUUUUGUGUCCAAUUCUUUUAUCACCAAAAAAGAGAAGAAAUAUUGCAGUGAAUGAAGAUUCCUCUGCAUUUUAGCACUGCUUUUUCAACUGUAGUUGGCUUUUGAAUGAGGAUGACAAUGGAAGAGAUGAAGAAUGAAGCUGAGACCACAUCCAUGGUUUCUAUGCCCCUCUAUGCAGUCAUGUAUCCUGUGUUUAAUGAGCUAGAACGAGUAAAUCUGUCUGCAGCCCAGACACUGAGAGCCGCUUUCAUCAAGGGCAAAAAGGAAAGAAAAUCAUCAGCAUAAUGAUUAAAAUUGGCAGGCAUCCUACAGGAAACAAACAUCAAGUGUGAUUACAGAAUUUACUGGGAAAAACUGAAAUCUGAAGAUUAACUCUGGCUUUGGCUGAAAAAGAAAAUCCAGGUCUCACACAAGACAUCAUUAUGAAAAUUUUAGAGAAAAAAAGCGUGGAAGUUAACUUCACGGAGUCCCUUCUUCGUAUGGCAGCUGAUGAUGUAGAAGGU
RNAcentral lists this long non-coding RNA (1098 nucleotides) under Homo sapiens (human). RNAcentral's name for it is "HSALNT0063773". Lineage: Eukaryota; Metazoa; Chordata; Mammalia; Primates; Hominidae. The record is from RNAcentral.